Molecule: non-coding RNA, 26 nt
Filed under: Cricetulus griseus (Chinese hamster)
Lineage: Eukaryota; Metazoa; Chordata; Mammalia; Rodentia; Cricetidae
Source: RNAcentral
UUGAAGGUAGUCAGAAUAGAGCUCAG